ACAGACGUUCUGACGCACAGAACUGCUUUAACCAUCUGCUCGCACUCUGAUAAGCAUUGACACGAAAGUUAAUUUCGCAUCGUUUCCAACUUACAGCGUAUGAAGCGCUCGAUUGCAUCUGAUGCGUCCGGGAAACUGAGCAACAGCAAUUUUGAAAACUCGAGAGACAUGAUUUGGCGAAAACGUUUGUUUUUGUCACGUCACGUGAGACAGAUGGCUGGUGCCACAGGAACAUUUCUGUGAGCCUCACGGUUAGGAAGGGAAGAACCUGGUCAAAUCCAAUGGGGUCAGUUUCACAGAUUUCUCCAGGGAGGACCAGCAGGUAACAAACUCUUUCCAGGAUGGAAGAUGGGCUGUGGCGACAGAAAACAGAGCCACCUAUCUGUGAUGAAUGCAAAUGCAAAGGGAGAACCAAUGGCCAUUUGUUUUUGUAAUAAUAAUCACCUCAUCAUAAUGGAAGACGGUCUUAUACAGAUUGGUGUACAAGGCUUCUAUGAUAAGGCUAAUAUAAUGUAUGACAUAUCAUAAGCGUUGCUAGAACAAGUUCAUGUGCACAGAGAAGCAAGUAAUAUAUCUGUCUGAAAAACAGUCGUAAGAUACAUGCAGCCAAAGUUGUCAUAAUGAUACAGGUAAGAUUGCGUAUCGUUAUCCAUAAAAUCUGUGAAAAAAUAAAAUAAACAUUACUUU
Long non-coding RNA from Anguilla anguilla (European eel), 687 nucleotides. RefSeq lists it as uncharacterized. NCBI's taxonomy places the organism in Eukaryota, Metazoa, Chordata, Actinopteri, Anguilliformes, Anguillidae. The transcript is spliced from 2 exons. The record is from RefSeq and is a predicted model, not a curated record.